This 456-nucleotide ribosomal RNA is filed under the name uncultured bacterium. RNAcentral's name for it is "bacterial SSU rRNA". It matches the Rfam family "Bacterial small subunit ribosomal RNA", at positions 44 to 525 of the family's 1533-position model. The record is from RNAcentral.
CCGGAUUAGGCAUGCAAGUCGAACGCUUGUAGCAAUACAGGAGUGGCGAAAGGGUGAGGAACACGUGAGUAACCUACCCCCAAGUUGGGAAUAACACCGGGAAACUGGUGCUAAUACCGAAUGUGGCUGAUGAACCGCAUGGUUUAUCAGCUAAAGAUUUAUCGCUUGGGGAGGGGCUCGCGUCCCAUUAGCUAGUUGGUGAGGUAACGGCUCACCAAGGCAACGAUGGGUAGCUGGUCUGAGAGGAUGGCCAGCCACACUGGGACUGAGACACUGCCCAGACUCCUACGGGAGGCUGCAGUCGAGAAUCUUGGGCAAUGCGCGAAAGCGUGACCCAGCAAUGCCGCGUGCAGGAUGAAGGCCUCCGGGUUGUAAACUGCUGUCACCCGGGACGAAGAAUUGACGGUACCGGGAGAGGAAGCCACGGCUAACUACGUGCCAGCAGCCGCGGUAAUA